This 74-nucleotide transfer RNA is filed under the name Thermodesulfobium narugense DSM 14796. It matches the Rfam family "tRNA". From Rfam's summary of the family: Transfer RNA (tRNA) molecules are approximately 80 nucleotides in length. Their secondary structure includes four short double-helical elements and three loops (D, anti-codon, and T loops). Further hydrogen bonds mediate the characteristic L-shaped molecular structure. tRNAs have two regions of fundamental functional importance: the anti-codon, which is responsible for specific mRNA codon recognition, and the 3' end, to which the tRNAs corresponding amino acid is attached (by aminoacyl-tRNA synthetases). tRNAs cope with the degeneracy of the genetic code in two manners: having more than one tRNA (with a specific anti-codon) for a particular amino acid; and 'wobble' base-pairing, i.e. permitting non-standard base-pairing at the 3rd anti-codon position. RNAcentral also lists the same sequence under 1 other name. Lineage: Bacteria; Pseudomonadati; Thermodesulfobiota; Thermodesulfobiia; Thermodesulfobiales; Thermodesulfobiaceae. The record is from Rfam by way of RNAcentral.
GCGCCCGUAGCUCAGUUGGAUAGAGCGACGGACUUCGAAUCCGAAGGUCAGGGGUUCAAAUCCCUUCGGGCGCG